This 619-nucleotide ribosomal RNA is filed under the name Anabaena sp. 260. RNAcentral's name for it is "bacterial SSU rRNA". It matches the Rfam family "Bacterial small subunit ribosomal RNA", at positions 39 to 701 of the family's 1533-position model. The record is from RNAcentral. Lineage: Bacteria; Bacillati; Cyanobacteriota; Cyanophyceae; Nostocales; Nostocaceae.
CGUCCGGAUGCUUACACAUGCAAGUCGAACGGUCUCUUCGGAGAUAGUGGCGGACGGGUGAGUAACGCGUGAGAAUCUAGCUUCAGGUCGGGGACAACCACUGGAAACGGUGGCUAAUACCGGAUGUGCCGAAAGGUGAAAGAUUUAUUGCCUGAAGAUGAGCUCGCGUCUGAUUAGCUAGUUGGUGUGGUAAGAGCGCACCAAGGCGACGAUCAGUAGCUGGUCUGAGAGGAUGAUCAGCCACACUGGGACUGAGACACGGCCCAGACUCCUACGGGAGGCAGCAGUGGGGAAUUUUCCGCAAUGGGCGAAAGCCUGACGGAGCAAUACCGCGUGAGGGAGGAAGGCUCUUGGGUUGUAAACCUCUUUUCUCAGGGAAUAAAAAAAUGAAGGUACCUGAGGAAUAAGCAUCGGCUAACUCCGUGCCAGCAGCCGCGGUAAUACGGAGGAUGCAAGCGUUAUCCGGAAUGAUUGGGCGUAAAGCGUCCGCAGGUGGCACUGUAAGUCUGCUGUUAAAGAGCAAGGCUCAACCUUGUAAAGGCAGUGGAAACUACAGAGCUAGAGUACGUUCGGGGCAGAGGGAAUUCCUGGUGUAGCGGUGAAAUGCGUAGAAAUAACG